CGCUCUGGUAGUGUUGGGGCAGCGAAUGCAGUCGGCUCUGUGCCGCCGCCGCGGCUGCCGCCGCCGCCGACGCGGCCGCGGGGUCCCCUCCUUCCCCGGCGGGUCCCCUGAUAUACCAACCAAAGCCUUGGUGGUGGUGGUGGUGAGGAGUUGUGGACUCCAGAUAAGGAACCCUUGCUCUAUUGGGAGGAAACUGUCUUAGUGUACAUGGAAGAUAUAUGUUUAAAUCCACAAUCUAAUGAUGAAAGCCACAGAAUUAAAACAACAGCAGCAGCAGCAGUAGCAACAACAACAACAACAGCAACAAAAGCAACAGCAACAACAACUACUUGAGUAUUUGGGGAUGUUUUAACAGUUACAUAAAAAUACAACCUGACCCAUCUUUUCUUUGUCCAUCUAAGAAGUCCUACAAACCACAAAUGGUGGGAAAAUUAUUAAUUUGAUGUUCAUUUAAGGGGGGGUGCAUAAAGGCAAUGUAUUUGUGAACACUGCUGGAAGAUUUCUGAUAGGUAUUUUUUGUAGUCUUUUAAGAAGCUUAAAGAGUUAUAGCCCACAAGGAGUCUUAUAAUGAUCAUACUAAGAAAAAAAUUGUGGUCAUUAAUGAUAAAACAUGAUGUUUGAUUGUGUGCAUAUGUGGCUAAUAUUGAAGGAGAUUCUUAAAUUUUGACUGACAGACUCAUUUUUUUUGUAAUUAAUUACAUUCUGGAAUGCAGUGAAAGAAAGGAAACCCAAUAACAUCUAACUCUGUCCUUGUCAAUAAAAAUAUUUUUGCACUAUUUAAAAAUAUUUUCUACAAGGAAUGCAUUUCUUAUUUUGUGUUUCUUCAGGGCUUAUUUUUCUUUAUUUUAUGACCAAAGUGCAUUGCAUUUCCAGGAAUUUGAAAGUAAGACAAACUAAUGCUGGACUGAUACCUUGCUAUCAUCAGAUGAUGUAUUUGCCAAUUCAUUUUCCUAUGUGUUUGUAAUAAUGUUGUUAUCUGCCUCUUCUAACUCCAUACCAGAUACUUUUCUCAGAUAUUAUUGCACUUGAUAAUUCCAUCUAAAUGAAUAUAUG
Molecule: long non-coding RNA, 1053 nt
Organism: Dromiciops gliroides (monito del monte)
Lineage: Eukaryota; Metazoa; Chordata; Mammalia; Microbiotheria; Microbiotheriidae
Exons: 3
Source: RefSeq, a predicted model, not a curated record